AAUCACGAAGAAAGUCAGUCGCUUUUCGAACCAAUCGAAGAGAGCUCGGUCGAAGCUCGCGAGCAGGGGAGAAAAGAUUGCAACUUUGCGAUGCACGCACCUUGUAAGAAUGAGGGUUGGCGUGGGACAGGGAAGAUAAGAAGGGGAGCUGUUCUUGAGCAGGUGACGAUGGAAGUUUCAAGAUAAAAACCCUAGUAGUGUGCACUGGAGAGGGAGACGAGAUGUUUUAUUAUAAAGAUGAUAAGAGAGGCUUCUAGAAUUU
This 262-nucleotide long non-coding RNA is filed under the name Eucalyptus grandis. Its description in RNAcentral is "long non-coding RNA (EGRA_LNC007660)". The record is from RNAcentral. Lineage: Eukaryota; Viridiplantae; Streptophyta; Magnoliopsida; Myrtales; Myrtaceae.